Chelonia mydas (Green sea turtle) is the source of this 138-nucleotide non-coding RNA. Lineage: Eukaryota; Metazoa; Chordata; Testudines; Cheloniidae. The record is from Rfam.
UGCAGCCCUGUCAAAUUCAGUCCUCGCCUCUGUCCUGGUGGGUACCGACCCGGUCGGCUGCCACAGCAACAUCUGUAGUUCAUGGGCCCCGCAUCUCUCUCACUGUGUGCUGGGAAUAAAAAUACACUACAGCCACCC